This 994-nucleotide ribosomal RNA is filed under the name uncultured bacterium. RNAcentral describes it as "bacterial SSU rRNA". It matches the Rfam family "Bacterial small subunit ribosomal RNA", at positions 265 to 1250 of the family's 1533-position model. The record is from RNAcentral.
UUACCUACGCUCUUAUCCAUACUCAACUCAACAUACCAAUACACCACCUUACAACUAACACACACCCCAUACUCCCACCGCACGCACCAGUAGGGAAUUUUUCACAAAGGGAGCAAGCGUGAAGGAGCAACACCGCGUGAGUGAAGAAGGGAUUGGGCUCGUAAAGCUGAGUUAGUGUAGAAGAACGUGCGUGAGAGUAAGCGUUCAAGCAAGGGCCGUAUCCAGCCUGAGAGUCACGGCUAAAUACGUGCCAGCAGCCGCGGUAAUACGUAGGGGGCCAGGGUUAUCCGGAUUUAUUGGGCGUUAAAGCGGGGGCAGGGCGGCUGCUUAGAUUUGAGGUGAAAGCCUUGGGGCUCACCGCAGAAGUGCCUUGGAAACCGGCCGGCUUGGGGGCUGAGGAGGACAGUGGAAAUUCCAUGGGUAGCGGUGGAAAGGGUAGAUAUAUGGAAGAACCCCCGUGGGGAAGGCGGCUGUAUGGUAUGCAACUGACGCUGAGGCUCGAAAGCAUGGGUAGCGAACAGGAUUAGAUACCCUGGUAGUCCAUGCCGUAAACGAUGAGUACUAGGUGUGGAGGGUCUCCGCCCUUCAGUGCCGGAGCUAACGCAUUAAGCACUCCGCCUGGGGAGUACGGCGGCAAGGGUGAAACUCAAAGGAAGGGAUGGGGGGUCGCACAAGGGGUGGAUCAUGCGGUUUAAUUGGAAGUUACGUGAAGAGCCUUUUCAGGUCUCGACAUGUGGCGCUGACUUAAGAGAUAAGGCGUUCCGCUAGGGUACGCAAUGACAGGUGGUGCAGGGUUGUGGUCAGCGUGUGUGUUGAGAUGUGGGGGUAAGUCCUGCAAGGAGGGCAACCGAUGGUAGCAGUGGCGAGCAGUAAGUCGGGCAAUGAAGUGAUCAGACGGGGGACCAUCCGGAGGAAGGGGGGGAUUACGUCAGAUCAUCAGCCCCCUUAUGGGCGGGGGUGCACACGUCAUCCAAUGGAGGGUACAAUGAGUCGC